UGUAUGUCCUCCUCUGUGAAGUGUCUGUUCAGGUCCUUGGCCCAUUUGUUGAUUGGGUUAUUUGUUAUCUUAUUGUUUAAUUUUUUGAGUUCUUUGUAUAUUCUGGAUAUUAGGGCUCUAUCUGAAGUGUGAGGGGUAAAAAUUUGUUCCCAGGAUGUAGGCUCUCUAUUUACCUCUCUUAUUGUUUCUCUUGCUGAGAAAAAACUUUUUAGUUUAAGUAAGUCCCAUUUGUUUAUUCUUGUUAUUAACUCUUGGGCUAUGGGUGUCCUAUUAAGGAAUUUGGAGCCCGACCCCACAGUAUGUAGCUCGUAGCCAACUUUUUAUUCUAUUAGACGCAGUGUCUCUGAUUUGAUAUCUAGCUCCUUGAUCCAUUUUGAGUUAACCUUUGUGCAUGGCGAGAGAAAGGGAUUCAGUUUCAUUUUGUUGCAUAUGGAUUUCCAAUUUUCCCAGCACCAUUUGUUGAAGAUGCUAUCCUUCCUCCAUUGCAUGUUUUUGGCCCCUUUAUCAAAUGUAAGAAAGUUGUAAUUUUGUGGAUUGGUCUCUGUGUCCUCUAUUCUGUACCAUUGGUCCACCCGCCUGUUUUGGUACCAGUACCAUGCUGUUUUUGUUACUAUUGCUCUG
This 621-nucleotide long non-coding RNA is filed under the name Marmota monax (woodchuck). Lineage: Eukaryota; Metazoa; Chordata; Mammalia; Rodentia; Sciuridae. The record is from RNAcentral.